GAGCCGGAGGAGGAUUGAUCCCGACUUGGCUCCUGGGCUGCCUCCCUGCCUGCUGCACAGAGACACACACACACACACACACACACACAGACUUAUACUGUAAUAAAGAGAACCCCAGACACAGAACCAGAGAGAGAGAGAGAGAGAGAGAAAUACAAAAAAAAAAAGUAAAACCAACGAAAAAACAACAAAAAAAAUUGUACCUGUUAAUAACUCCAAGGGAGCACCACCCACUCAACCAACCUCCACAAACUGACAGCUCAGCAACUUCUCCGACUGGCCACCCAUCGCUGGAUGUUCCUCCACUUUAUCCACCAUAUAAAACAACUUUUACCAGUAAAUAUCGGUUUAUUCCUGAAAUCAGAAGCCCUAAACAUACCUUUGUUUAUAAGUUUUUCUCCUCUGCACUACCGAAAAGGGAAUUUACGGGACCUAGAGAACAUCUGUCGGUAAUGUAGAUGUAAUUUACAAAUUACUGGUAGGUUUCCAAAAAAAAUUUGAAAUUUUAUUUUUCAGACUAUCGGAGCUUGUGUAAACUGGUGGUGGGUGCUCAGAGAAAACCCCUAAAUGUUUAUACUUAGGAGACUUGUACUUCACAAUAGUGUGUGUAGUUCUGUUUAAAUAUAUUUAUUCAUAGUACUUAUCUGAAAGUAUUCACUAGAAAAAUCAAAAUUCUCUCUUGCAAGAGGUAAAGGGAAAAACAAUUUGAACAUGAUCUUUUUUUUUUAAACUUCAUAAAAAUAUGCUUUGAAGUUGAGAGAAUAAUCAAAUAGUGAAAUGUUCAAAACUUAAAAGGACAUUGUUGUUUAGACCCAAAGUUUAGAUUUUCUGGUUAUUAAAAAAAAAAAAACUGGGUAGAAAUACAUUUGACAAAAUAAAUUUUUAUUCAUAAAAACCAAAAAGAGGAGUUGGGAGUAUUUAAACUCCUCUUUAUAAUGUUUGCAACCAAACACAACUGCAUUGUGCUCAUACUGAAGAGACAGAAGCUAGCAAAGGAAUAGAAAAUGAAGCUGACUCAACAGGCCAGCCAAAUUUCACUCUCCAGAACAUGUGAAAUAAAAAAAGUUAAAAAAAAAAUAAUUUUAACUAUCUACAGCAUGCAUAAUGCAAGACUAUUUUCUAUAGCAGUUCAGCUGAACAAUGUCCCUUUAAGGAGAUGCAGCACAAUUUGUAAAUUUCUUCCUGGAUGUGUUUCAUUAUCUUGGUUGGUUUUGUGGUCUCGGAACAAAUCAAAGCUUUUGCACCCUUAGUUGGAGUCCGUAAUGGCCGGAGUCUUCAAGCAGUAUGCUUUCUGAGCUGAAAACUACCUUUCCUCCCCUUUUGCAGCCUGUGUGGUUCUGACUGCUGGUAGUUCUGUAGUACAGCAGCUUUAAUCUGAGCAAUCGAGAAUGGUCCUACAUUAUAUACAGUUGGCUUCAGGAGGACUUGUGUUCCCAGUUUGGUACUCAAAUGCUCCAUCCCACCAUGAGAAGUCACUUUAAAAGGCAGUGAUAGAUUAUCCUCUUUAGCACUAAUGGAAAAUUACAUUGCAAAGCAGCUUUAUUAUGAACCUUUCCUAUAUUUAUAAUUCCCUUGCCAUCCCAACUUGGAGAUAAAGGCCUGUUAAAGGUUAUAUAUUACUCUGGAUUUUUCUUACUGUAAAUAUUGUAAUUUUACAAUACUGUCAAUAUUUUAUUAAUUUACAAAUAUUUAACAAAGUUUAAUCUGUGUGAGUUCAGAUUUAUUUAAUAGUGUUCCACUUCCGUGGUUUCUGCUGCAGUCAGUAUUGCAUUAUAUUCUAUGUAAGAUUAACUUGCAUUUAAAAAGAAAGUUAAGACUGAUUUAAAUCCAUCUUUCUGGGAGAACAAAGUACAGAAGUGAUUCUCUUCUUUGAAAUGUAACACUUGCACUCUUCAGGCCCAGUGCUAAGAUAAUUUAAUGAAAUACUACCAUUACAGAUUUUCAAAGCUAAUGCAGCUAAACAAUGCACUUGGAACUUGUUACUUGAAAACUUGAGAAUACUUUGAAUGUUAAAUGGCUUUUCUCAGCCAGUUUUCAGUGAUUUUUCUGCAUUAUCUAAUGUAUCUAAAAUCUUAACUUUUUUUAUAAUGAGUAAAGGGACGUUGUCUGAUCAGUUUUAAGUUUUUGUAAAAGCAAGGAUUUGGAAAGGUUGAGUUUGAUAGAAGUGUUUUCAUUAUUUUCUUAAAAAAUUCCAAUGAAAACACAUUUUGUAUUAGUUUGACUGUAUGCAUUUGCCAUAGCAGUGUUUGCAUCCCAAAGAUUGCAGUGUGGUGGCUAUGGGUGAGCCAAAAAGCAGCUGGAAACUGACUAGAUGCAGAACCUGAAAUCUUUCUCAUUGUCCAAAUUAAAGGCCCAAGCCUAUGCCCUGGAAAGUCACUGGCGAAGCUUUUACAGAAACCAGGAACAGGCCUUGAUUGAGCACUUUCUUCAUCUCCCUCAGCACUGAUGGUGAAAAUAAAUUAGAUUGUCCACAAUUCUUUAUUUUACUAAUUGAAGGUUCUCUAAAGACAUUUUUUUUACAAUUAAUUUUUUUAACCCGAUCGUGUCCCUUUAACAGUUCAGUUUUCAGAUGUUCAUGUUCUUUGCAGAAUUAUCAAAAGCCAGUAUUUUUUUUCCCUAUCAGAGGCCAGGGAAGACUUGAUCUUUCAUGUAUUUGCAACAUGACUCUCCUUAAAGGAUCCAAAAUAUCACAAAGGUGUUUGUGGGAGGUGGUACAUUUGGGUUUACAAGUUAAUCUUUAUUAGAGAUGUGCCAAUAUAUGCUGCUUUAUUGUAGUGUUGUUGUUUUAUAUUUAGGCAUUUUAGCUAAUUUACAAAUAUAUACUGUAACAGUAUACUUUGUACAGAUUUAUUUAAAAUUUAUUUGAAAAUUGAAAUAAAGUAGGCAAAAAAUAAAGAUGUUUAUUUUUCAUUUGACUAUAAGCAGCUAACAUUUUUUUGGUUUUAGUGUACUUGAGCACCAAACAAUCUCAGAAUGAUCAAAUAUUUUAGUUGAAAGGCCACAUUUCAGAAACUCUGUGGCUAUGUGUAUGUGUAUCUGUAUUGUAUGUAGACAACUGUUAACUCUGGAAAUGAUGAAGUCAUACUCGUGUUACCAUUCAGAAGAAAGCUUUUCAUAGUUUGACUCUAUUUUCUCUGUUUUAAGACAAAAAGGAAUUUAUUUUUUGUAAGAUGUUUAUGAAAGGCCUGCCGUCUGGCUUCUCCAGUCAAUGUUUAAAAUUCCAGAGUGGGGGUGAUUUCUUGUUUAGCCCUUGCUGAUAGACCAAAGUCAGCUUUGACAUCAUAUUGGGGUGCUGCUCAAAUCUGUGUUUUAUGUUGAAGUCAAAAAGCAAAGUAAGAAAAAUCAAGAUGUGAACUUCACUAGAAAACAAAUUCUUCACUGUACAAUAGAAUGGAUAUCUCUAAUCACUCUGUCGUUAAUGAUAGAUUCUUAUUUUUUGAAUUAUCUAUUUAAAAACAGCAAGCAUUGUAUUUGCUAGUAAAUAUAAAGUGUUUACAUGUAAUUACUUAAUAAAUUAUUUGAUUUAAGAUUGCUCUUACGGUGCUGAUUUUUA
Molecule: non-coding RNA, 3553 nt
Organism: Pelodiscus sinensis (Chinese soft-shelled turtle)
Lineage: Eukaryota; Metazoa; Chordata; Testudines; Trionychidae
Source: RefSeq, a predicted model, not a curated record